Molecule: ribosomal RNA, 425 nt
Filed under: uncultured bacterium
Lineage: Bacteria
Description: bacterial SSU rRNA
Rfam family: Bacterial small subunit ribosomal RNA
Source: RNAcentral
GUGGGGAAUAUUGGACAAUGGGCGCAAGCCUGAUCCAGCCAUGCCGCGUGAGUGAUGAAGGCCUUAGGGUUGUAAAGCUCUUUCAGUGGGGACGAUAAUGACGGUACCCACAGAAGAAGCCCCGGCUAACUUCGUGCCAGCAGCCGCGGUAAUACGAAGGGGGCUAGCGUUGUUCGGAUUUACUGGGCGUAAAGCGCACGUAGGCGGAUCGUUAAGUCGGGGGUGAAAUCCUGGAGCUCAACUCCAGAACUGCCUUCGAUACUGGCGAUCUUGAGUCCGGAAGAGGUGAGUGGAACUCCUAGUGUAGAGGUGGAAUUCGUAGAUAUUCGCAGGAACACCAGUGGCGAAGGCGGCUGACUGGUCCAUUACUGACGCUGAGGUGCGAAAGCGUGGGGAGCAAACAGGAUUAGAAACCCUAGUAGUCC